Molecule: ribosomal RNA, 429 nt
Filed under: uncultured bacterium
Lineage: Bacteria
Description: bacterial SSU rRNA
Rfam family: Bacterial small subunit ribosomal RNA
Source: RNAcentral
CCGUGAGGUGUCGGCUUAAGUGCCCAUAACGAGCGCAACCCCUGCGGGCAGUUGCUAACGGAUAAAGCCGAGGACUCUGCCCGGACUGCCGGCGCAAGCCGUGAGGAAGGCGGGGAUGACGUCAAAUCAGCCACGGGCCUGACGUGCGGGGCGACACACGUGUUACAAUGGGGAGUACAGCGGGAAACCAGGUGGCGACACCGAGCGGAACCCGAAAGCUCCUCUCAGUUCGGAAUCGGAGUCUGCAAUCCGACUUCGUGAAGCUGGAUUUGCUAGUAAUCGCGCAUCAGCCAUGGCGCGGUGAAUACGUUCCCGGGCCUUGUACACACCGCCCGUCAAGCCAUGGAAGCCGAGGGCGCUUGAAAUGUGACCCCGCGAGGCGCGCCCUAGAGCGAAAUUGGUGACUGGGGCUAAGUCGUAACAAGGUAA